GGGAGCUUUUGAAUGCUGCGAAGAGAGAAGACGCCGGUUUUCAUCGAAGUUUUUGUUAAACCCUGGAAAUCAACGCCACAAUUAAUGCCCCUCCCCAGAAAGAACCGCACCGGCAGCAACCCCGUCAGUUCAGUCUUCAGCACACGACGCAACAAAGUCACCCAACCUACCUUAGACCUUCAGCACCGCAGGCAAUAUCGACACCUCGGACUCAUGAUGUGGUCAAUUCCACGCUGGUGUAACAAGCCAUUAAGCCUCAGGCAUGUGCACUGGCUCUUCAUGAGCCCAGUCUCUUAAACAUCUCACCCAUAGAUUGUGUCAGCUGAUGGUAUUGUACAAAUUGCAACAUGAUCAGAGAAAUAGUAGUGGCAAGUUACACUGAGUGAGAGGAGGUAGUGUGAAAUCACUGGUGCCAAGGUGGGCUGAUGUGGACUACCAUACCUCCUAACGUGGACAAGUAAUACACUACUUACCCGAAAUGAACCAUGUUGUAUUUGUUCUGUUACACCCAUACAUAAUUCGUUAGUUCCAUUGGAAGAAAUUCAUUGGAAUUCCAUGGAACAUCCCUCCCAUGAAAUGCGUAUAUACUGUCAUUCUUGAAGGUUGCAGUGUGGUACCACUAGCAACCCGACUUGCAUGUGCAAUUGUUGCAUAGCUCAGGGUUUCAGAGCUAAUUAUGGGGUACUUCUGUCCUGGUAGCACUGACUGGUUUACGUGCCUCAUGCGUGUGCCGUGUGUGCAGGGUAGCUGCUUUUGCUUCCCAGACAAACCUAUGCAAGUAUGAAUAAUGCUUUAAGCUUCACUUGUUGUUACUGUACUACCGCCUAUUGUCCAAAAGACUAGUCCAUGACCCAAAGUGCUAAAAGCACAGCAACUAAAGAACUACAUCACUGCAACUGGAGGUCUGUGUUGAUGUGGGUGCUCUUGCAGACCAUUUCUUGAUAGCGCAACACCAGUGUGAACAUUUUGUCAAGGGGAAGAUUGCAGAAGUGCAAUAACAAGUGAAUUUCAGUACACACAAAUUGAAUAAAUAUUGUCUUGCAUUAGGAGUAUAUAAUCAGCUGUCCGGUGUAUCUGUAGGUGAGGUGUUUAUACAAAGUAAAUAUUGACUGUUCUAACGUGUGGUACAGUAAAAAGAGUUUCACUUAGUGAUCCGUGGAGUGCUAUAUUUUCCCUCCACUCUUCCUUGAGAAUAUACUUACAAUAUGGUAUGGAUCACCUUGCAAUGGUAUCGUUUGAUUGUACCACUCAUUGCAGUCAAUAUUAGCAUACAUUGUACUUAAAAGGCAGUGGUGUAGUCAAGUACAUUUCCAUGAGUACGAAAUGUACUGGAGUAUGAGUAUGAGUACUGCAACACUGCUAGAAGGCAUAUGAAGUGUGACUCAUGAGAAUGUGGAGGUGCACAUUGAUCUAUGCAAGACAAAGCUUUGCUUACUGCAUUUAUUCUAGCUUUAUAUGAACAUCUUCCAUAUGCCCAGUGACAUCUGAAACAUUUUUGUCAUUGACCUGACCAAUCACAUUGCUUUAUGACUAUAACAAUGAACAAGUAAGGGCGUUGUUUUCUUCUCUUGCUUUUGCAAAGUUUAAGGAAAACAAGACAAGUCCCUGCAUGCUUGAUUGAUGCGGCAUGAUUGUCAACAUCUGACAUGGUUUCUGCACAUCCACGUACUCUGGUUCAUAUUUAACUUAUGUAACUUCUUGGAAGCUUCCAUCCUAUUGUUCAUUUGUGUCUCGGUAAACAGUCAAAAUGUGGUAUUAAGCGCAUUCAGUUUUGCUGUUGAACCACUGUUAUUAACACAUUGAACCCAACUUUUUCAACAACUCAGAAUAUAGUAUAGGUAGAUUUUUCUUUAGGACAUUAAUAUCCAUGAUAUAUAUACGUAUAUAUUUUUAAGAAGGGGCUAAAGUCCAGCACUUUUUGAGUGAGAAAGCUAGAAUUGUUUUGCUUGUAUCCUAUUGUGUAUAGCUAUCCCGAGAUAAGUUGUGUCUAGUUUCUGUGCUGUUAUAGUUUGGUUUUCGUAUAUGGCACAUGAUGUAGGGUUUGAUAUUUACUUUGCUAGCUUGUGAUUUGCAACUUUGCCACAAACAUUUAAGAUAAAUAUAAAGAUCAUAAAAUGAUCACUUUUUUGUUAUUAAUUUCAUUAAUCAGAAAUACAGGUGGAAUGUAGGUUAGCUAUACACAUCAAUCAUAUUGACAAAUAUGUUGGUUUGUAUAAAAAAAAAAGGCCUCCUGUUUAAACGAUAUACUUAAAGUCUUUAUUAGUUUAAUUGUGUUGGACAAUAUAUUUCAAAUGAUGUUUAUUAUAUAAAAAAGUGAUCACAUAGGGAAAUGGUUUCAGUAAAUUAUGUUUAAAAGAAAUCAUUUCUGCUAUGCAAAAUGUAAAAAAAAGGUUUAAAUAUUGUAUGGUUUUACUUGUUUAUGUAUAUUCAUUUACUUUUACAAAAUUGUGCAAUUUAUGAAUUAAUAACUGAGCUUUCAGACAUUUGAGAUGGAAAAAGUCAACAUUGAUACUAAAGGACCUAAGACAAGAAAUGGGAAAAUGGGGGGGGGGGGCGGAGCGUUUGUUGAAUUCUUUAUUUCAGUUAUGCUGGUAGCUUUAUUUAUUUGACAUGGUCCUACAGAAACUGCAAUUGUUGCAAUAAAGUAGUCCAAGUUAUUCUUUUGCUAACUGCGAAAACUGUAAACUAAUGAAUGUACACAUGUUUUUGUGAGAAUAGAUGUGGUUUAUUGUAACAAUGUAUGGUUAUAUUUUGUACAAAUUAUCCUACUUCCCAUGCAUGGAUGCUGUGAUUAUGUUCAGUAAUUUAGUUGUUUUAAGUCUAUUUUCUUCGGUCAAGAUAGAGGUUCUGAGUACAAACAAUGUGCUUUUUAAAAAUGAACGAGUGAUUGUUUGAAUUAUUGUCUGGUACAAUUUAUGUUGCACAUUGUGACUUGCUUUUCACAGAGUGCAUGUACAUGUAAUAUAUGAAUUCUGUAACGUAUGUACUACUAGUAUGUUAUGUCCAGUGGCCCUAAGAGUGAAAUAACAUUAUGUGAGACUUGCA
This 3045-nucleotide long non-coding RNA is filed under the name Patiria miniata (bat star). Its description in RNAcentral is "uncharacterized LOC119721831". Lineage: Eukaryota; Metazoa; Echinodermata; Asteroidea; Valvatida; Asterinidae. The record is from RNAcentral.